GCCAGGCAUGGUGGCACAUGUCUGUAAUCCCAGCUACUCUGGAGGCUGAGGCAGGAGAAUCGCUUGAACCUGGGAGGCGGAGGUUGCAGUGAGCCGAGAUCAUAAUACUGCACUCCAGCCUGGGUGACAGAGCGAGACUCCAUCUUAAAAAAAAAAAAAAAGAAAUGGAGUCUUGCUCUGUCACCCAGGCUGGAGUGCAGUGGUGUAAUCUCGGCUCACUGCAGUCUCUGCCUCCUGGGUUUGAGUGAUUCUCCUGCCUCAG
Molecule: signal recognition particle RNA, 262 nt
Filed under: Macaca mulatta (Rhesus monkey)
Lineage: Eukaryota; Metazoa; Chordata; Mammalia; Primates; Cercopithecidae
Description: Metazoan signal recognition particle RNA (ENSMMUG00000063484.1)
Rfam family: Metazoan signal recognition particle RNA
About the family: The signal recognition particle (SRP) is a universally conserved ribonucleoprotein. It is involved in the co-translational targeting of proteins to membranes.
Source: Rfam by way of RNAcentral